GCAACUUAAAAACUAUUUUUCAUAUUACAUAACUCAUAUAUAAAAAAUAUAAUAUCAAAAUCAUAAAAAAAACUAAAAUUUAUAUGAAGCACGCAAUCUUAGUUUUUUGAUAGAUGAUUUGACGAUUGAGUUUCGAUGAACUUGGUUUCUCAUUUGAGAUUUAAGAUUUGGAUAAGCAAACUAAGUUAAAUCUAAUGAUUUAUGUUAGUUGGCUCAAGGAAAAUGUAAUUGAUAGAAAUUUUUUCGAUUAAGCUCAAAAUUGAUCAAUUGGGAUUGGAAUUAAGUUGGAGAGAUGAUGCAUUAGGGUUUCAAAUUUAGUAAGAUAGAAUG
This 330-nucleotide long non-coding RNA is filed under the name Elaeis guineensis (African oil palm). Its description in RNAcentral is "long non-coding RNA (EGUI_LNC057517)". The record is from RNAcentral. Lineage: Eukaryota; Viridiplantae; Streptophyta; Magnoliopsida; Arecales; Arecaceae.